Molecule: long non-coding RNA, 803 nt
Organism: Drosophila ananassae
Lineage: Eukaryota; Metazoa; Arthropoda; Insecta; Diptera; Drosophilidae
Exons: 2
Source: RefSeq, a predicted model, not a curated record
GAUCGAUAACUUUUUGGUAUUUUCAUUGAAAGCUUAAAUUUUAAAUUGUAGAAUAUAUUCAUAAAGGAUAGGACAGAAGGACAAAGCCCACUUUUGCGUGCGGCCAAGACAAUAAAGCCAACUCGGUGGGGAACUUCUCAGCCAGCUGGGAUACCGCCCGCUGUUCCAACUGGCUUUUGUGUGGUCCAGGAGCUACUGCACUGCAUGUGUGAUAAAAAAGGAUAAGAGGGAACUUUGGCACGCCCAUCUAACACCCAGAACACCCAAACGCCCCAACACCCGCCCAAGAAUACAAGACAAUAUGCUCACGGCUCCAUGGAUAACUUCGUGGUUUGACAAAGCGACGACUAGGACGAUGCCUAGAAGGACGACUAGGACUACCAGGACGACGCCUAGGACGACGUCAACAUUGCAUGAAAAAUGGCACUUGAUAAGGCGCCCAAGGGGUGGAAUGUGGGAAAAGGAGUCAUCCUGCCGAGCAGGAAGUGUGAAGCGGCGUGCAUAACAAAAUGGAGGAGCAACCUCACUCUGUGUGUAUGUGUGUGUGUGAGUUUCGGGAGAAGUGAAGUUGCAGCUUGCCCCGCGGGCAGCCAUUUCUCUCUCAGCCUCCUGUUCUCCUUCCCUGCAUAACUUCCGUUAACCCGCUUUUUCCACCGAGUAAAUAGCAAAAGGCGCGUGUAGUCGCCUUCUUCGGGGCUUUUCAGCGGCAAACCACCAGCUAGUGUUGUCAAAAUAAUAAUAGUAAUAGCGGCUAAAAUAAUAUUUUAAGCUCUGAAUAAAAUCAUUAUACCCUUUGCUUUAAA